CGCUUCUCUAGGUUAUAACCUGGAUAUAGUCUGUCACCAACCACCAUAAAUUGCAGCCGAGCUACGCCUUGUUACGUUGAAGUUACGCGCAACUGACGUGGUACUCUGUCAUCAGCAUAACUCUAAGAGCCCAGUCCAACCUAAAUGAAAAGAAAUCAAUAUUUCACCCAGCGCGAAUGCAUGUCACAAUGUGAAGGCCAAACAAUAUUUUCCUUGCGAAGCAACGGGCAUUUAAUGCUAAUUAUACCACUACCAGACAGGGUUUUGUGUGUGUGUGUGUGUACAGUCGGAUGUAGGACUAUACCCUGUCAAACGGCGUAUGUUGCUCCAUAUAAACACAGGUUUGUGAAUAUAAUAGCGAUACAGUUAUAAACUAGUGGUCAACGUGCAAGUUUCAACCAGUCCAUAACGACGGGCAUAUGUAAACCAACCAACAAAAAUGAGACGUUGGACAUUUAGUUUUAACCAAUCGGCUGCCAUUGUCAUUUCACUGGUUGAACCAAUAACAACAGUUUUUAUAUAUCCACUCAUCGUUGACAUCUAUCUGGCAGGCUCAUUGGUGAAAACCUGUGAUGUCAUGUACACAAUUUUGGUUCAUCUGUUGCUAUUGGCCAUCACAUUAGCAAGUCUUUGUGCCAUGAAGUUUGGAAUGGAAAAUAUAUGUCAGCUUCACUCCUCGUUCGAAGGGAAGAAACAAUCUUUAUUUUUCACCUUUUCCAUCUGUGCAGUGUGGAACGUCUUGUUUACAAUUUAUAUCAUGGUGUUCCAUAAUCACUGGGCUUUAGUAGAGUCGUAUGUUCCACACAACAUGACGACGCCACCCGUGAAAAUUGAAGCAGUUUUUUCUCCAGCAUUGAAAAUACUUAUUCCACAAAUUUCCCUUCUCUUCUCGGUGUUGGUAGUGGCAACGGCAAUGUCGGUCUGCCGUCCAACAUGGAAGGCAUCGGACAAGGCGACAUUGAAAAAAAUUUGGAUUUAUCUCUUAAUGUCAUUGUUGUUCCAGACCAUAUAUAUGACAUCACGGUUGGCCUUCUGGCACUGUUCCAACACUGUGUAUGACAGACUGUCGAAAACCAUCGAUUUUAUAGACUGGAUCUGUUAUUCCAAGUCUUUUGUUUUCAUUGUUGUCAUCAUGUCGUUCUACUACUUGCAGUAUUUUAUUAAGACAGAGUUAGCUAGAAGAGGAGUUAUUAGCAUAAUGGACUAUCGUCCACUAUUUAAUAAUGACCAUUAAAACUGUCUUUGGAA
Molecule: RNA transcript, 1248 nt
Organism: Gigantopelta aegis
Lineage: Eukaryota; Metazoa; Mollusca; Gastropoda; Neomphalida; Peltospiridae
Exons: 2
Source: RefSeq, a predicted model, not a curated record